AUAUAAUGGUAAUGCUUAUUUAGUAGAUUCUAGUUUUUAAACAAAUGAGAAAUACUGUGUUAAAAAGUCUAAAAAGUCCACGUAGGAAAAAAACAGCAAAAACAUUCCAAAUACAAUCCUGCUCCAAAUGAGCAGGCCCUGAAUAAAAAUGAUUCUUAGAAAUGUAGAAAAAUGGCACUAUUUUCAACAUUAUCCAGAACCAGUAUUUUAGUAAAUCUGUUAUCAAUCUAAAUUCUUGUUUUAAAUCUUUACUGAGUUUCCUCUAUUAUUUUCCUCAUUCAGGUAUGUGAAUACACAUAAUCCCUCUGUAAUGAUCUUCUUCUCCAAACUUUGAUAUUUAAGUUUCUUAUCAUACUAUUAAAAUAUGCUGAUGAAGACAAGUGAUUCCAACAUAUGCAUCAAGAACACUUGACUAAUGGUCACUAUACACAUUCCAG
Non-coding RNA from Pelobates cultripes (western spadefoot toad), 437 nucleotides. The record is from the annotation of a GenBank genome assembly. Lineage: Eukaryota; Metazoa; Chordata; Amphibia; Anura; Pelobatidae.